RNAcentral lists this ribosomal RNA (290 nucleotides) under uncultured bacterium. RNAcentral's name for it is "partial 16S ribosomal RNA". It matches the Rfam family "Bacterial small subunit ribosomal RNA", at positions 505 to 795 of the family's 1533-position model. The record is from RNAcentral.
GUGCCAGCCGCCGCGGUAAGACGGAGGGUGCAAGCGUUGUUCGGAAUCAUUGGGCGUAAAGGGCGCGCAGGCGGCCUCCCAUGUCCGAUGUGAAAGCCCGGGGCUCAACCCCGGAAGCGCAUUGGAGACUGGGUGGCUUGAGUCCGAGAGGGGACCGUGGAAUUUCUGGUGUAGGGGUGAAAUCCGUAGAGAUCAGAAGGAACACCGGAGGUGAAAACGACGGUCUGGAUCGGGACUGACGCUGAGGCGCGACAGCGCGGGUAGCGAACAGGAUUAGAAACCCAGUAGCC